AGCUCCAAUAGCGUAUAUUAAAGUUGUUGCAGUUAAAAAGCUCGUAGUCGAAGCUCGGCCCUUGCGGGGCACGGUCAAUCAAUGAUUGUACUGUGUUCUGCAGGGCAAACUUUUCCGAUCUGCUUCUCAUGUCCUUCACCGGAUGUGUUUAGCGGGCGGGACUUUUACCUUGAAAAAAUUAGAGUGUUCAAAGCAGGCAUAUGGCUUGAAUACAUUAGCAUGGAAUAAUAGAAUAGGAUUUUGGUUCUAUUUUGUUGGUUUUAAGGACCAGAAUAAUGAUUAAUAGGGACAGUUGGGGGCAUUAGUAUUCAGUUGUCAGAGGUGAAAUUCUUGGAUUUACUGAAGACUAACAAAUGCGAAAGCAUCUGCCAAGGAUGUUCCCA
Molecule: ribosomal RNA, 383 nt
Filed under: uncultured eukaryote
Lineage: Eukaryota
Description: SSU rRNA
Rfam family: Eukaryotic small subunit ribosomal RNA
Source: RNAcentral